Molecule: transfer RNA, 59 nt
Filed under: Camelus ferus (Wild Bactrian camel)
Lineage: Eukaryota; Metazoa; Chordata; Mammalia; Artiodactyla; Camelidae
Rfam family: tRNA
About the family: Transfer RNA (tRNA) molecules are approximately 80 nucleotides in length. Their secondary structure includes four short double-helical elements and three loops (D, anti-codon, and T loops).
Source: Rfam by way of RNAcentral
AUAGCUCAGUGGUAGAGUGCGUGCUUAGCAUGCACGAGGUCCUUGGUUCAAUCCCAUAU